CCGAAAACAGCUAUUUUAUUUGGAGAUCAAAUGCAGUCAUCCGAAUUUUCAAUGUGUACAACUGCAGCUCAACUUCUUAUAAAUGUCCUGGAUCAUUUAGUCACCCCAGUCUUUGUAAGCCCAACGCUAGAGGACAACCAUGUCUUUGUCAUAUAUGUCGGUGCUAUGUGGGCAACGGACGUUUAUGCACAAGCGCCAAACACAACAAUUGACGAGUUCACAGUGACAGGAAGACGUCAGGAAGGUAUACAUAU
Dreissena polymorpha is the source of this 254-nucleotide long non-coding RNA. RefSeq lists it as uncharacterized. Lineage: Eukaryota; Metazoa; Mollusca; Bivalvia; Myida; Dreissenidae. The record is from RefSeq and is a predicted model, not a curated record. The transcript has 3 exons.